CGGAGGAAGGUGGGGAUGACGUCAAAUCAUCAUGCCCCUUAUGAUUUGGGCUACACACGUGCUACAAUGGACAAUACAAAGGGCAGCUAAACCGCGAGGUCAUGCAAAUCCCAUAAAGUUGUUCUCAGUUCGGAUUGUAGUCUGCAACUCGACUACAUGAAGCUGGAAUCGCUAGUAAUCGUAGAUCAGCAUGCUACGGUGAAUACGUUCCCGGGUCUUGUACACACCGCCCGUCACACCACGAGAGUUUGUAACACCCGAAGCCGGUGGAGUAACCAUUUAUGGAGCUACCUGUCAACGUGCCCAAAG
Molecule: ribosomal RNA, 309 nt
Filed under: Staphylococcus sp.
Lineage: Bacteria; Bacillati; Bacillota; Bacilli; Caryophanales; Staphylococcaceae
Description: bacterial SSU rRNA
Rfam family: Bacterial small subunit ribosomal RNA
Source: RNAcentral